UUUAUGGAGAGUUUGAUCCUGGCUCAGGAUGAAUGCUGGCGGCGUGCCUAAUACAUGCAAGUCGAGCGGAAAGGCCCUUCGGGGUACUCGAGCGGCGGACGGCUGAGUAACGCGUGGGAACGUACCCCAAAGUGAGGAAUAACCGCCCGAAAGGGUGGCUAAUGCCGCAUAUGAUCUUCGGAUUAAAGGAUUUAUCCGCUUUGGGAACGGCCUGCGUAUGAUUAGAUUGUUGGUGAGGUAAUGGCUCACCAAGUCUACGAUCAUUAACUGGUCUGAGAGGAUGAUCAGUCAGACUGGAACUGAGACACGGUCCAGACUCCUACGGGAGGCAGCAGUAAGGAAUCUUCCACAAUGGGCGAAAGCCUGAUGGAGCAACGCCGCGUGCAGGAUGAAGGCCUUCGGGUCGUAAACUGCUUUUAUAAGUGAAGAAUAUGACGGUAACUUAUGAAUAAGCACCGGC
This 460-nucleotide ribosomal RNA is filed under the name Candidatus Saccharimonadota bacterium. RNAcentral describes it as "bacterial SSU rRNA". It matches the Rfam family "Bacterial small subunit ribosomal RNA", at positions 1 to 497 of the family's 1533-position model. Lineage: Bacteria; Candidatus Saccharimonadota. The record is from RNAcentral.